RNAcentral lists this ribosomal RNA (497 nucleotides) under uncultured bacterium. RNAcentral describes it as "partial 16S ribosomal RNA". It matches the Rfam family "Bacterial small subunit ribosomal RNA", at positions 28 to 507 of the family's 1533-position model. The record is from RNAcentral.
GACGAACGCUGGCGGCGUGCCUAAUACAUGCAAGUAGAACGCUGAAGAGAGGAGCUUGCUCUUCUUGGAUGAGUUGCGAACGGGUGAGUAACGCGUAGGUAACCUGCCUUGUAGCGGGGGAUAACUAUUGGAAACGAUAGCUAAUACCGCAUAACAAUGGAUGACACAUGUCAUUUAUUUGAAAGGGGCAAUUGCUCCACUACAAGAUGGACCUGCGUUGUAUUAGCUAGUAGGUGAGGUAAUGGCUCACCUAGGCGACGAUACAUAGCCGACCUGAGAGGGUGAUCGGCCACACUGGGACGGAGACACGGCCCAGACUCCUACGGGAGGCAGCAGUAGGGAAUCGUCGGCAAUGGGGGCAACCCUGACCGAGCAACGCCGCGUGAGUGAAGAAGGUUUUCGGAUCGUAAAGCUCUGUUGUAAGUCAAGAACGGGUGUGAGAGUGGAAAGUUCACACUGUGACGGUAGCUUACCAGAAAGGGACGGCUAACUACGUG